AUACCCUAAUUCCAGUCCUCCAUCUACGGUGCGCCGCCACCCGCUCCCUACCUACCUCUCCCCUCGCUCUCCCCCUCCCACCGAUCCACAGCGCCGCCGCCCUCCUCACAUCUCUGCUCACCGCGCCCCUCUCGCCUCUCUCGCCACUCAAGCCCCGAUCCAGCAUCGGCACUACAUCCGCUACUCUCUUCUCUUAAUCUCGACCCCGAGACCGUAGCUCGCGCGAACCCUAGCACCCCCUACAGGCUGCCGUCGAGGAUGAACAAGCUGGCCUCUCGCGGCUUGUCAAGUUCCUCGCCGACCUCCCUCUAAGCGGAAUGGCGCGCGGCUCCUCUCAUCGGCGUCCAGGUCCGCCCGUCCAAGCUCCGACUCUCAUCCGGAAGAAUUGCGGUCGGUUCCUCCAGACGAGCCGCCGCCCAUCUCUCUGCACCACGCUCCGUCUCGUCGCUUCGAACGCCAGCCCAUGGUCAAGCAUACCGACGGCACCGCUCCUAAGUCCGGCUGCCCCACAACCUUGCGCGUGGUCCGGAUCUGGAGCCGAAGCGCCCGACCUCGAUCUUGCUCGUCACACGCGCCUUUGUUGGCCUGCUUGUCGCGCGCGCCCUCUUCCUCCGCCGUGAAGAAGACCGAUGGCGCCUCUCCAGAUCCGCCAUAGAGGCUGAAGCCGCUCGAGAUGUUUCUGCAGGAGUGUCUCCCUUCCCGAGAAGAACGGGCUACACCUCGACCUGAUGGCUCUCCGCCGUCCAGGACGCGGGCAGCAUCAGCUGGGAUGACGACGUGAACCAGAUCUUCUUCAAGUACGACCCCAUCCACCGAACCUUCACUAAGUCAGGUGUUGGUCGCCACUUGCAAGAAGGGUCCUGUAGGUUGGGAGAGGGUCUGAUCGUGGAAGUUAAUUUGUUGGUCGCAAUUGGAGGUCUGGCUGUGUGGAAGUUAUUUUGUUGUUAAUUUAUUCAUGCUUUGACUAGUAUUGUCCUGUCGUGGGUUCACUUUGGGAGAGAUUUAGAUGGCAGUGUUUGAUAGCUGGGUUUUUACUGCAUAUAUGUGAUUUAAGCCAUGUGAAUAUUGUAAUAGACUUAGUUGUUGCUGUUGUGAAAACAAUGUCAUGUAUUCUUCGGUUC
Molecule: long non-coding RNA, 1121 nt
Organism: Lolium perenne
Lineage: Eukaryota; Viridiplantae; Streptophyta; Magnoliopsida; Poales; Poaceae
Source: RefSeq, a predicted model, not a curated record